GUGAUCAGGACUGAACACACAGGAAUCACCAUGGAGUUUGUGCUGAGCUGGGUUUUCCUUGCUGCUAUUUUAAAAGGUGUCCAGUGUGAGGUGCAGCUGGUGGAGUCUGGGGGAGGCUUGGUACAGCCUGGGGGGUCCCUUAGACUCUCCUGUGCAGCCUCUGGAUUCACUUUCAGUAACACCUGGAUGAGCUGGGUAUGCCAGGCUCCGGGGAAGGGGCUGGAGUGGGUUGGCUGUAUUAAAAGCAAAGCUAAUGGUGGGACAACAGACUACGCUGCCCCUGUGAAAGGCAGAUUCACCAUCUCAAGAGAUGAUUCAAAAAACACACUGUAUCUGCAAAUGAACAGCCUGAAAACCGAGGACAUGGCCGUGUAUUACUGUACCACAGACACAGUGAGGAGAGAUGAGCCCACCAGCCUCAGCACUGACCUCCAAGCCAAGCACGUCCCUGCCUCUGCUGUGGUCUCCAGUGCCAUGAACUCAGCCCCUGUCUUGGGCACCAGCCCAUCUUCCCCGACCUUCACCUUCACCCUCGGACGCCAUUACUCGGAGGACUGCGGCCGCAUCAAGGCUGGCCGCCGCUCCUCCUACCUGCUGGCCAUCACCAAGGAGCGCUCCAAGUCCUGCGAUGAUGGACUCAACACCUUCCGCGACGAGGGCCGGGUUCUGCGUUGA
Gorilla gorilla gorilla (western lowland gorilla) is the source of this 675-nucleotide non-coding RNA. NCBI's taxonomy places the organism in Eukaryota, Metazoa, Chordata, Mammalia, Primates, Hominidae. The record is from the annotation of a RefSeq genome assembly.